This 563-nucleotide ribosomal RNA is filed under the name Alternaria sp. ZHB-SX-2013. RNAcentral describes it as "eukaryotic LSU rRNA". The stretch from base 193 to 346 matches the Rfam family "5.8S ribosomal RNA". Lineage: Eukaryota; Fungi; Ascomycota; Dothideomycetes; Pleosporales; Pleosporaceae. The record is from RNAcentral.
GUAGGUGAACCUGCGGAGGGAUCAUUACACAAAUAUGAAGGCGGGCUGGAACCUCUCGGGGUUACAGCCUUGCUGAAUUAUUCACCCUUGUCUUUUGCGUACUUCUUGUUUCCUUGGUGGGUUCGCCCACCACUAGGACAAACAUAAACCUUUUGUAAUUGCAAUCAGCGUCAGUAACAAAUUAAUAAUUACAACUUUCAACAACGGAUCUCUUGGUUCUGGCAUCGAUGAAGAACGCAGCGAAAUGCGAUAAGUAGUGUGAAUUGCAGAAUUCAGUGAAUCAUCGAAUCUUUGAACGCACAUUGCGCCCUUUGGUAUUCCAAAGGGCAUGCCUGUUCGAGCGUCAUUUGUACCCUCAAGCUUUGCUUGGUGUUGGGCGUCUUGUCUCUAGCUUUGCUGGAGACUCGCCUUAAAGUAAUUGGCAGCCGGCCUACUGGUUUCGGAGCGCAGCACAAGUCGCACUCUCUAUCAGCAAAGGUCUAGCAUCCAUUAAGCCUUUUUUUCAACUUUUGACCUCGGAUCAGGUAGGGAUACCCGCUGAACUUAAGCAUAUCAAUAAGCGG